This 532-nucleotide ribosomal RNA is filed under the name uncultured bacterium. RNAcentral describes it as "bacterial SSU rRNA". It matches the Rfam family "Bacterial small subunit ribosomal RNA", at positions 777 to 1322 of the family's 1533-position model. The record is from RNAcentral.
AAUAGAUACCCGGGUAGUCCACGCCGUAAACGAUGGAUACUAGCUGUUGGAGGUAUCGACCCCUCCAGUAGCGAAGCUAACGCGUUAAGUAUCCCGCCUGUGGAGUACGGUCGCAGGACUAAAACAUAAAGGAAUUGACGGGGACCCGCACAAGCGGUGGAUUGUGUUCUUUAAUUCGAUGAUAAACGAUGAACCUUACCAGGGCUUGACAUCCCGAGAAUUUUGCCGAAAGGCGAGAGUGCUUUAUUGAACUCGGUGACAGAUCUUGCAUGGCCGUCGUCAGCUCGUGUCGUGAGAUGUUUGGUUAAGUCCAUCAACGAGCGCAACCCUUGUGAAUAGUUGUAUUUUUCUAUUCAGACUGCCCCGGCAACGGGGAGGAAGGAGGGGAUGAUGUCAGGUCAGUAUUAGUCUUACGUCCUGGGCUAGAAACGCAAUACAAUGGCGAGUACAAUGCGCAGCGAAGCCGCGAGGUGAAGCAAAUCGCAUCAAAACUCGUCCCAGUUCGGAUAAGAGGCUGAAACUCGCCUCUUUG